UAAUAAACGUAUGUUCACAAAAUAACGAAAAAUAAAAACAAAAACAAUUAGCACGCUUACGAAAAUGCAAAGCUUGCAUCAGGCGCGCCCCAUAUUAAGCGUUAAUGUUAAAUUAUAUUAAUUUCUAAUGUCAACAUGAUCAUAAGAAAUCUUAAAAAGAGAAUUUUGGAUUAAUCUAAUCUAGUAUCUAAACAAUGCAAUGGAUUAAUAAAUUUCAAUUUCUAUACGUAAUAUAUGGGUCGUCGAACGCAACUUCGGUGUCUCCCACAAACUUUUUCUCUUUUUUUUUUUGAGGUCGAACAGAGAGCAACAGGCGGUGUGGGUAUUGAAAUGAUCGAGGUGCAUAUAGAUUGGAUUCCUGUUCGGUAUGUUAGGGUGAAGAAAAAAACAUUUUUUCAAAUCAUCUGACAAGCUUCAAAUCAAUGCAUGGAUUCAGCAAUAAACAUAUAUAAAAAAAAAAAAAACGGAAAAAGAAAACAACCAGAAAAUUGUAAACGA
Long non-coding RNA from Glossina fuscipes, 498 nucleotides. RefSeq lists it as uncharacterized. The transcript is spliced from 2 exons. NCBI's taxonomy places the organism in Eukaryota, Metazoa, Arthropoda, Insecta, Diptera, Glossinidae. The record is from RefSeq and is a predicted model, not a curated record.